RNAcentral lists this ribosomal RNA (512 nucleotides) under uncultured bacterium. RNAcentral describes it as "bacterial SSU rRNA". It matches the Rfam family "Bacterial small subunit ribosomal RNA", at positions 17 to 518 of the family's 1533-position model. The record is from RNAcentral.
UCCUGGCUCAGGAUGAACGCUAGCUACAGGCUUAACACAUGCAAGUCGAGGGGCAGCAUGAUCUUAGCUUGCUAAGAUUGAUGGCGACCGGCGCACGGGUGAGUAACGCGUAUCCAACCUUCCCUGUACUAGGGGAUAGCCCGGCGAAAGUCGGAUUAAUACCCUAUGUUUUCCGAAGCGAGCAUUUAAUUUGGAACAAAGGUUUACCGGUAUAGGAUGGGGAUGCGUCUGAUUAGAUAGUAGGCGGGGUAACGGCCCACCUAGUCGACGAUCAGUAGGGGUUCUGAGAGGAAGGUCCCCCACAUUGGAACUGAGACACGGUCCAAACUCCUACGGGAGGCAGCAGUGAGGAAUAUUGGUCAAUGGACGAGAGUCUGAACCAGCCAAGUAGCGUGCAGGAUGACGGCCCUAUGGGUUGUAAACUGCUUUUAUAUAGGGAUAAAGUGAGGGACGUGUCCCUUAUUGUAGGUACUAUAUGAAUAAGGACCGGCUAAUUCCGUGCCAGCAGCCGC